This 768-nucleotide ribosomal RNA is filed under the name uncultured archaeon. RNAcentral describes it as "bacterial SSU rRNA". It matches the Rfam family "Archaeal small subunit ribosomal RNA", at positions 85 to 856 of the family's 1478-position model. The record is from RNAcentral.
ACGGCUCAGUAACACGUAGUCAACAUAACCAGAGGACGUGGAUAAACUCGGGAAACUGAGGCUAAACCGCGAUAGACCAAGAUACCUGGAAUGGUUUUUGAUCAAAAUCUAUAUGGCCUUUGGAUUGGACUGCGACCGAUCAGGCUGUUGGUGAGGUAAUGGCCCACCAAACCUGUAACCGGUACGGGCUCUGAGAGGAGGAGCCCGGAGAUGGGUACUGAGAAAAGGACCCAGGCCCUAUGGGGCGCAGCAGGCGCGAAACCUCUGCAAUAGGCGAAAGCCUGACAGGGUUAUUCUGAGUGACUUUCGCUAAGAAAGUCUUUUGACAUCUCUAAAAAUGGUGUAGAAUAAGGGGUGGGCAAGUCUGGUGUCAGCCGCCGCGGUAAUACCAGCACCCCGAGUGGUCGGGACGAUUAUUGGGCCUAAAGCAUCCGUAGCCGGUUUUACAAGUCCUCCGUUAAAUCCAACUGCUUAACAGAUGGGCCGCGGAGGAUACUAUAAGACUAGGAGGCAGGAGAGGCAAGCGGUACUCAGUGGGUAGGGGUAAAAUCCGUUGAUCCAUUGAAGACCACCAGUGGCGAAGGCGGCUUGCCAGAAUGCGCUCGACGGUGAGGGAUGAAAGCUGGGGGAGCAAACCGGAUUAGAUACCCGGGUAGUCCCAGCUGUAAACGAUGCAGACUCGGUGAUGGACUAGCUUAAUGCUAGUCCAGUGCCGCAGGGAAGCCGUUAAGUCUGCCGCCUGGGUAGUACGGUCGCAAGACUGAACAG